Molecule: ribosomal RNA, 497 nt
Filed under: uncultured bacterium
Lineage: Bacteria
Description: partial 16S ribosomal RNA
Rfam family: Bacterial small subunit ribosomal RNA
Source: RNAcentral
GAUGAACGCUGGCGGCGUGCCUAAUACAUGCAAGUCGAGCGAACAGACGAGGAGCUUGCUCCUCUGACGUUAGCGGCGGACGGGUGAGUAACACGUGGAUAACCUACCUAUAAGACUGGGAUAACUUCGGGAAACCGGAGCUAAUACCGGAUAAUAUAUUGAACCGCAUGGUUCAAUAGUGAAAGACGGUUUUGCUGUCACUUAUAGAUGGAUCCGCGCCGCAUUAGCUAGUUGGUAAGGUAACGGCUUACCAAGGCAACGAUGCGUAGCCGACCUGAGAGGGUGAUCGGCCACACUGGAACUGAGACACGGUCCAGACUACUACGGGAGGCAGCGGUAGAGAAUCUUCCGCAAUGGGCGAGAGCCUGACGGAGCAACGCCGCGUGAGUGAUGAAGGUCUUCGGAUCGGAAAACUCUGUUAUUAGGGAAGAACAAAUGUGUAAGUAACUAUGCACGUCUUGACGGUACCUAAUCAGAAAGCCACGGCUAACUACGUG